This is a non-coding RNA of Leptonychotes weddellii (Weddell seal), 1099 nucleotides long. NCBI's taxonomy places the organism in Eukaryota, Metazoa, Chordata, Mammalia, Carnivora, Phocidae. The record is from RefSeq and is a predicted model, not a curated record.
AUCUGAGAUGAGUUCUGAUGUCAGUUUGGAUUCUGCCUUAUAAAUGUGCUAAUCACAAGGGCAGGUCCCUCUCAGAGUAUAGCUCAUCGAUGACCUCCCUCUGACACACUUGAAAGCUUUUAUAGUAAAUAAUUGUAGUAAAGAGCGUUUACUUUAGGAUGCUGGCUUCAAUCCAAGUUGAAUAAAAGAUUUUUGAUAAAUAUCAUUUGCACGUGUGAUAUCAUCCAGUAGAAGGCUGUUUGGUAUGCUUAAGUGUUCUGUAGUCCUCACGGGGUUGGCAGAAUCACUGGUGGGUUAGGAGCCUUAUCUUCUAUUUAUUUUAGUGGGUGCUUCUACUAAAUGUUGUUGACUAGAUAGAGGAAUGCAGUCUCAUAUUUUAUCCUGGCUGUAACAAAAUGAUGAUCCUAUAGAGUCGGGAACUGAAAGUCAUCAAGCAGCUUUGUUAGGUGCUGUGAGUCAGAGUGUGGCCCCAGAUGUUUGUUACAAGUUCUAGGUCAUGUGUGCUUAGUAGAUGAAUUUUGGAACUGAAUUUUCAGCCCUCUUUCCUUAGUGUCUUUUAUCAGAGGAGGCUUUAAAAUUCACCAGAGAGAAGAGCUUCUGUUCUCUUCUCACUCCCACUCCCAUUCCUUCUCUCCAGGAUCGUUUUUCAGAAUAAAUACUGAAAAGGAAAAGCAUGAGAGGUUUGUUGGGAUUGUUGUAGUGUUUUUACAAGAGAAUCUGACGUUUGCUAUUUUCAUCUUUGGAUAUUCAUUCUGGGUUUGUAUUCUUUCUUUUCAGCUGUUUGAGAACUUCUACUUUGGUACCCUGAAGCUCAAUUCAGUUCACAUCUCUCAGAGGUUCACAAUAGACAGCUUUGGAAACUACGCCUCCUGUGGGCAAAUUGACUUCUCCUGAGGUGGAUCUUGGGAAGCGCUAGAAGUUGAACAUCCUCACAAGGGUCUACCUUUCUUUCUGAAGUUCUUCUCUGGAAAUGUACAUCUCAAGCCCAUUGGAGCUGAGAGUCACGUUAUUUCUUAUACACCUACUGAUUUUGCUCCAGCCAUUAAACUUUCAUAUUAAUACUUUAAAAGAGAAUUAAAGACGUGGUUUUGUUACUCUC